This 1752-nucleotide long non-coding RNA is filed under the name Homo sapiens (human). Its description in RNAcentral is "HSALNT0183206". Lineage: Eukaryota; Metazoa; Chordata; Mammalia; Primates; Hominidae. The record is from RNAcentral.
CCUCAGCUUGGUUGCCCCAGAAAAACACCAGCAUCUGGUGAGUGGUGUUUAUUCUGAGGUUACUCUUUCUAAAAAUAGUUUUCUGAAAACUCGCCCUGGUCGGCUGGGAAGCACACAGGCGGAGUGGCGAGCCAGUGAAUGGGAGGCUCUCCUGCAGCGGGGGCACCUUAGAGGCUGGUUGUGUGGGCCAAGAAUGCACUCGAAGAGCAGGAACAGAGUUUGCAAGGGGGGCUGCCGGUGUCCACGGGAACCGUGGCAGGCCAGACACACCCAUCCCUGGAGAAGCAGAAGGUCGGCUAGGAGCUAUGAACAUCCUUGCUGAGCCCCAGAAGUGAGGAGCAACAGGGGAGGAAGGAGGCUCCUAUCUUGAAGCUGUUGGGCACCUACGCAAGUGGCACAGGGAGGGGCAGGGUGUUGGCUCCGAGUGAGAGAUUUGCUUAAGCCAGAUGGUGGCCGAUGAAGGAGGCCCAGGCAACCCCUUCUGGUCUUCCAGACAGCACCACAGAUGGCUUCUCCAUCAAGACUUCAAUCUCAAAGGGCAAUACUGUGCGGCAAAAGAAGAGCUGGCUCCUGGAGGACUUCUGGGGCCCCAGGCAUGGAUCAAUGUUUGCAUCAGAAAAGAAAGCCUGUCAGCAAUGGAGGUGCUGGAGGAUUUCUGGAAGGGGGGGGCCUCAUUCAAGACCACCAAGGGACUGCUGACUGUUCUCGUUCAUGACGCCUCUCUUCAAGGAAAUUGACCCUCCCAGAGUGCAAGACGGAGAAAAAGGUUCUUAAGAACUUCCCCUGGAAAUCACCACUGAAUGGAUGCCAGGCAAUUCUAGAAUCUCCACUCUUUGGUUUUUUGGGCCCUUGGAUGGAUGAGAAGUGAUGUGCAGAUCUGAUGGGAAAAAUGGCAGAGACCACAGCUUCUCUCCUAAACCCUCAUUCAUUGCCCAUCGGACAAUUCUCCUGUUUCCGAUCCUGUAAGGUCACAAGGAUUUCUCAUUUCAGGUAGACCAGAAAAGAAGCCACUGAUGGAAUGCUGCAAGAAGGGGUUUACCAUGCGGUGUGAUUUCUGGGACCCCUUCUUCCCUGUUGAAAAUAUUUCACAGGCCCCCAGGACCUCCCCCAAAAGACAAGGGCAGAAACCAAAGAAAAUGCACUGUUCCAAUUUUGUCCAGGCUGCCUGUGGAAUGAGAAACCCAUGAGAAAGUUAUUGAGACUUCAGUUUUCUAUUCCUCUCCUUAUCCGGCCUCAUUACCUCCCCAACCCCUGAGAGAAAAAAUAAAUAAUUCACAAACAAAGGACGAGGGUGUGGUGGAUUGAGAGCAGGUUUGCUUGGUGACAGGAGGACUCUGUAGAGGGGGUCUGUUGGGAGGUGAGCAGGAGGGAGUGGCUGCUCCAGAGCCCACAGUUCUGUCCAGAAAGGUGGAAGUAACACAGGCAUCAUGAAGGCUUCUGGAGGCAGGGGCUGAGCCCUCUCACCGCAAGGACCACAGAAGCCAGGGCUGGACUCCUGGCCCGGGAAGCUCCAGUCCCAUGGACUCUAUCCCACUCCUUUGUCUCUUUCUCCCUCCUGUGCCUGCCCCGCCUGCCCCUUGCUCUGUCUUCAUCCUGGGAAGCCAGCUGCAGCAUGUAGGAGAGAAGGGCUCUGUCACGGCUGUCUCUAGUGUGUUAUUGUUAGUGUUACAUUACAAAUCCCGUUUCCAUGCCAGGGUCCCUCGGGGGUCAUAACCAGGAGAGGCCAUGACCCUGUCAAUAAACAGAACCCCA